RNAcentral lists this small nuclear RNA (301 nucleotides) under Propithecus coquereli (Coquerel's sifaka). RNAcentral describes it as "7SK RNA (ENSPCOG00000008190.1)". It matches the Rfam family "7SK RNA". From Rfam's summary of the family: 7SK was discovered as an abundant small nuclear RNA in the mid-70s but a possible function has only recently been suggested. Two independent studies have found that 7SK RNA binds the CDK9/cyclin T complex (known as elongation factor P-TEFb). Lineage: Eukaryota; Metazoa; Chordata; Mammalia; Primates; Indriidae. The record is from RNAcentral.
GGAUGUGAGGGUGAUCUGGCUGUGACAUCCGUCACCUCAUUGAUCGCCAGGGUUGAUUCCACUGAUCUGGCUGGCGAGGGGGGUGUCCCCUUCCUCCCUCGUCACGCCAUUUGUGUCCCUCCUGAAGCCACACACUUGGUCAAAGAGGAUGGUAGAGGAGAGGACCUCCGAUAGAGGAGGACCAUUCUUCAUUGAAGGGUGUAUGAGUAAUGGGGCUCCCAUGCUAGAACCCCCAAACAAGCUCUCAAAAUAAAAAGACACAUUAAUAUUUCAUCUUUUCAGAUGAGGAAAGAAAUUAUCC